RNAcentral lists this ribosomal RNA (183 nucleotides) under Bolitochara sp. BT-2011. RNAcentral's name for it is "partial 28S ribosomal RNA". It matches the Rfam family "Eukaryotic large subunit ribosomal RNA", at positions 663 to 817 of the family's 3401-position model. Lineage: Eukaryota; Metazoa; Arthropoda; Insecta; Coleoptera; Staphylinidae. The record is from RNAcentral.
GGACCAAGGAGUCUAACAUGUGCGCGAGUCAAUGGGACUAUUGAAUCCUAAAGGCGAAAUGAAAGUGAAUUUCGAGCUUCGUGCUCAAUGUAGGGAAGAUGGGUGUUUUGUCACCUCGCAUUCCCGGGGCGUCUCGUUCUCAUUGCGAGAUGAGGCGCACCUAGAGCGUACAUGUUGGGACCC